CGCACCCCCAACAAGCAGACCGCCGCCGCCAGCAGCAUGGCCGCGCCGCUGCUCCGGCAAUGGCGCCGCCUCGCCGUGCUCGGCGCCCUCCUCGCGCUCCACCUCGCCGCCGCCGUGGCGCAGUCGCCACCAGCUGCACCCACGACCCCUGCUGCUCCCACGACCCCGGCUGCACCCACGACCCCUGCCGCACCUACGACUCCGGCUGCACCCACGACCCCUGCCGCACCCACGACCCCUGCCGCACCUACGACUCCGGCUGCACCCACGACCCCUGCCGCACCCACGACUCCGGCUGCACCGACGACCCCUGCCGCACCCACGACACCGGCUGCACCGACGACCCCGGCUGCACCCACGACCCCUGCCGCACCCACGACUCCGGCUGCACCGACGACCCCUGCCGCACCCACGACGCCAGCGACGCCGGCGCCCACUGCCACCCCGACAACGCCAGCGCCGACCGCCACCCCUGUGGCGCCAGCAAAGCCGCCGCCGGUCGCGCCAGCCAAACCCCCUCCGGUGGCGCCACCACCGGUCACGCCACCCCCCACGACGCCACCCGCGGUGCUCCCACCCGCCGUGCAGCCGCCCGCCGCGGCGCCUCCGCCGACGGCCACGCCCCCGGCCGAGGCGCCCGCGUCGCUGCCUCCCGCGACGACGCCCCCGCCCGUGGCCGAGGCCCCCGCGCCGCCCGCGGAGAUACCGCCCGCCGAGGCGCCGUCCAAGGGCAAGAACAAGCACAAGAGGAGGAAGAAGCAGCACGGCAAGAAGGAGGCGCCCGCGGAAGCGCCGCAGCCGCUGAGCCCGCCUGCUCCCG
RNAcentral lists this long non-coding RNA (820 nucleotides) under Sorghum bicolor (sorghum). Its description in RNAcentral is "long non-coding RNA (SBIC_LNC004150)". The record is from RNAcentral. Lineage: Eukaryota; Viridiplantae; Streptophyta; Magnoliopsida; Poales; Poaceae.